CACCAUCAACAACUGUAGGUCAUUAAUACAGAGAUGGAAAACAGGUAUCUUUGUUUUCAAGAAACAGAAUUGGAAGAGUGGUCAAGCAGCAUAAUCCGGCAAAUUUGGGGGAAUAGAUGGGUUGACUGCGUUGACUGCGUUGACUCAAAGCCUAAGGUAAUCAGGCGGAAGAGUAAUACUAUGGGUUAAGAGGAAUGGUCUUGCUUGAAUGACAGAACGGGGCUCUUAGGCCACAUUUGUUUGCACUAAAUGGAGAUAUGAAUCCCAAACUUUGCAGAAAAUGAGGUAGAAACGUACAAAGUUAUACAUGCAGGAUGGUGCUAAAUUUCAACAGCUUCGGAAGAUACGUCCUACUUGAAUCUUGGCUAGGUGGAAGCAGAGUAGUGGUGAUUGUCCCAGAAAUUUGAAACAGAUGCAGGUUGGACAGAAUAUGGCAACAAGAUUUUAAAAUAAUUGGAAGAGUUGAUGGGCAGAAACGAACAAAACCUAUUCAGAAGCUGCAGCAACACAACUGUGGCAGAAGAGGAGAUUCGAAAGAAAACAAAGGGGAUACCAGAAGGAAGAGUUAGCGUAUAUGAAGCAACUUUUGGUGGACAGAGAAGAGUAUUUAGCCUAAUGCUUAGUGGCUAUCUCAGCGACCAAUUUAGUCCCAACCCAGAAGCGGUGGUGCUACAGAGUUGUUUUCAACAGUGCAGGAAAGUACCGACAGGUCUCAAAGUCGCAGAGGUGCGCUUCGGAAUGUACCAUUUUUGAUUUCGUAUUGUACAUUGACAGCAAACACUUCAGAGCAGGGAAUGGUUUUGGAAGGGAAGAAGGCUGGAGAUAUGACCUAAGUAUCUGGCCAGAAUCAUCGUCGAAGUUAACAGAGAUGGCAAAGUAAAUUGUCGGCAACAAUCUGAUGACUGACUAUCCGAAUUUCCAGGAGGAGACCAGUCAUCCAAGCUGAUAAAACAAGGGGAAACGAGAGGGUGAUGAGAGAUCAGCGAAUUACGUGGCUGGCUGAUUUUCAAAACUUGAAACUGAACCAUUCAAGCACUUGAUUCCAAUCAAUGAACAAACCUGGUCCAGAAUUGAAGGAAUGAAGGAAAACUGGAGAGAAAUCACCCUUCCUUCAGAAACAUGGGCUGUGCUUGUUAUGACCCUUGUAUUUUUAACAUGGGCUCCUCUUUUUCAACCUAAUGCAAUUAUACAUCCUGUAACGCUGGAAAUAGAAGUCCAAUUAUCAAAUAAAAAUACUCCAACACAAAAGAAAGAACAGUCAAGAGCUCUUAUCCCUUCCAGACCAGCUUGUGACCCCAACAGUGGAUACCAGGGACAAACAGUGGACGAAGGAGCAGACCAAUCAAUGUUUCUGCAUGGAAGAGAGAUGAUACCAACAGACACAGAACAGAAACAUAACCAAAUAUGGAUAUAUGCUCCUUGGAAAACUGGACAUCCUAUGCAUCAAUUGGGGCACCGUCUUUACCAUGGUAUGAUGAAACAAACAGUAUGCAAGGUGGUAUGAGCUCUACAACAGAAACCAAAGGUGUGCUAACAGCUGGGAGUAGGUGUGGGAGGUUUUGAACAAGAUCUAUUGGGUUUGCCGCUACGAGUAGAAUACAUGAGGAUGCAGAAAAAUCAAAAUAUCAUCAUAAAGCUACCAGCACCAGACAGUGAAAAGAGGAAAAGAAAGAACAAGGUGAAAAAAAUAGAAUUCAAAGUUGAGUAUGGGAAAGUGAAGGGAGGACCAGGCGCAGGAACAACGUAAUUUUAGAAGAUUAAGAUUCUAAGUUAGAACUUAAGGGGUGUAAACAUACUAGGAAGGGAAGAUGCUAAGGUCAUUAAUACAGAGAUGGAAAACAGGUAUCCUGUGUUUUCAAGAAACAGAAUUGGAAGAGUGGUCAGGCAGCAUAAUCCGGCAAAUUUGGGGGAAUAGAUGGGUUGAUUGCGUUGUCUCAAAGCCUAAGGUAAUCAGGCGGAAGAGUAAUACUAUAGGUUAAGAGGAAUGGUCUUGCUUGAAUGACAGAACGGGGUUCUUAGGCCCCAUUUGUUUGCACUAAAUGGAGAUCUGAAUCCUAAUCAUUCAUAUCUCAAAUAUUAAGAGCGUUUGUUUUUAAAGCCUAAAUCUUAAUCAUUCAUAUCUUACUCAUUAA
This 2132-nucleotide long non-coding RNA is filed under the name Nicotiana tabacum (common tobacco). RNAcentral's name for it is "long non-coding RNA (NTAB_LNC000433)". Lineage: Eukaryota; Viridiplantae; Streptophyta; Magnoliopsida; Solanales; Solanaceae. The record is from RNAcentral.